UACGUAGGUGGCAAGCGUUAUCCGGAUUUAUUGGGUGUAAAGGGCGUGUAGGCGGGAAUGCAAGUCAGAUGUGAGAACUCAGGGCUCAACCCUGAGCCUGCAUUUGAAACUGUAUUUCUUGAGUGCUGGAGAGGCAAUCGGAAUUCCGUGUGUAGCGGUGAAAUGCGUAGAUAUACGGAGGAACACCAGUGGCGAAGGCGGAUUGCUGGACAGUAACUGACGCUGAGGCGCGAAAGCGUGGGGAGCAAACAGG
RNAcentral lists this ribosomal RNA (253 nucleotides) under uncultured bacterium. RNAcentral describes it as "partial 16S ribosomal RNA". It matches the Rfam family "Bacterial small subunit ribosomal RNA", at positions 524 to 776 of the family's 1533-position model. The record is from RNAcentral.